ACGGUUGCGGUCUUGCGCUCCUGUCCAACCCGAUUGCCUUGACACACAGAGACCGGACUGCCACAGAGCCUCCCCCGCAUCCCCUUUCUCGUAUCAUAGCCCCUCUGUUACCCUCAGCGCAUCUGCCCACCACGCUGAACUCCCUUCGUUUCUCUCAUCGACGCUGCCUGCUCGGAGCGCGUGUUCGACUAUACAACGGGCAGCGAGGAGUGGAGGCGAAAGAGGCGGGGAGACGACCGUCUUUCGUCGCUGUCUAAUCCCGGCUUCUCUGUCGCUCAGGCACCGCAGCGCACCACUGGUUCCGAAGAGCUAUCAAGGAAGGGGCACUGCAGCACACUGCGUGCGUGAGCCUGGUGGCGGCUUGAGAGCCAGCUCUUACAACCUCACAGACAAGUCAUCGAGUAAUCUUUAUCGGACGCCUCCUGGCCCCCUUGCACACUGCUGCCCUGUGCGUACGCGUGGAUACGUGGCCGCGUCAGGCUGUUGAGCUCCUCUUCGCGCGUUGUGUGAGCUUUUCGUGUAGUUUUCUGCUGUGGUCGCACCCGUCCUUGUCCGUCUCUCUGGCCUCCGCCCCUUUCCCCACGGUGCCCAAUGUCCUCUUCGCGUUCGUGGUCGUCAUCUGAUGGCGACAGCAACGACCACGCGGCCUUGUGGUGGAGCGAUGACAGCGAUGCGGGGAAUUCGGUGACAGACGAAGCGAACGCCAACGCUGCGACGCCUUGCCAUUGCACCGAGGAGGACAGACCGGCGGCGGAUGGCGUUGCCGGCCGCGUGGAGGACGUCGGGCGGCUGGAGCCGACGGAGCGCAUUCAUCGGUACAUCGACCAAUGCAUUCCUCCAGCGCUCAUGUCCCAUCAGCGAUCCGCGGACGGGCCUCUGCUUGUCCAGCUGUGUGCGGAACUGGAGGCGUUCGGCACGCCAAAGGCGUGGACGAAUCACGUGCCCGCUACGGUGUUUGACGAGUACGCGGCAACAGUCGAAAAGGACGCGAGGGGCAGCGAGGCAACUCACCCCCACAGCGCCGCCCCGGAGCUGGGGCCGCGAGCUGACUUGUUCGAAGCGGCCUUGUACUCAUGCGAGAACGUGGCGUACCCCUCGCACCCGUCGUUGGCGGAGCUGCGCCGCGCUGCGGGGUGUGACAGCGGCGCCACCGUCCCCUGGUCGACGCUGACGCGCCACUUGUCGUACCUGAGUGUGCGACUUCACGGGGUGCUGUCCGCGCCACACGGCUGCUUUGGUGCCUACGUGCUUCCGCUACGCCUUCAGGCGUCGGUGGUGCCGCUUCUCUACGCCUGGGCGACGCACUGGCCCCUCAUCGAGGCGGAUAUUGAGUGCUGGCGAGCGGUCGUGCGCUGCUUUUACGCUGCGUGCCGACCACCGAGCCCUGAUAAGGCGUCCUCCGACGCGAAUGUGGAGGCAGCUCUCAGAUCAACCUUCACGCUGCCGUGGCAGCCGCUGGCGGCACUCUGCCUGAGCGCUCGAGACAAGCGGAACGCUGAGUUGCCCUCGUGGCGCUCCACACUCACCGCCAUCGUCACCUCGCUGCCGUCGCUGUGCCGUCGCGCGUCGCCUCACUUUAGCGCUGCCGCCGUGGACGGCCUCUGGGGCCUCGUAGCCGGCCAACUCGCGCCGACGGAGGACGGCGUUGCUGCGCUGUCCCUGUUUGUACGACUCGUGCCGUACCGUCACCUCUGCCAGCCGAAAACAGAUGUGGUCGUAACGCAUGGCGCUAUCGAGAACGAGGCCAUUACCUCGACAGGGGAGAACAACCGCGGGUCUCACAGACAGCAGGAGAGUGAGCUCGCAUCCACCACGGCGGCAGCCGCGCCGCCGCAGCUGACGGCACGGGCAAAGCAGAUCCUGCGCUUCCUGCUGGUGGAGACGGCCACGUGGCAACCGCCAGGUCGUCCCUCGCCUGCGGUGGCGCCGAGCGGUGCCAAAGGGAGGAAGUCGAAAGCGUCGGCGCGGGGCUUUUACCUCACAUGGGAGAAGGCCGUCAUGACCUUCGCCGGGUCGCUUGCACGCGCGCAUCCCGGAGUGGCUGGCAUGGACGCAUUUGCGGAGCCUCUCUUCACCGCGUGGCUGCAGGCGCUACAGCUGCCGGCAGGGAGCGGCGCCGGACUUCCAGGCGCUUCCGCGACAUCGGCGGCCGCCGUGUCGCAUCUCAUGCGUAAGGGAGGUCAUGAGGCCAACUCGCCAACAGGCUUGAACACUGCACGUGGCGGCCCGGAGGCGAGCUCGCGCGCAAUCAGCUGGACAGCGGCACCGUACGUGCGCCUGCUGAACGGCUUCCCGGACACCGGCGACUCACCGCUCUGGCGCCAUUUGGAGCGGUGGCUCCACGCCACUAGUGUGCUGGUGCGUCCUGGCAUGCCGUGCACGAAAGGCAGUGCAGCCGAUCGCGUGUGCGACUGCUACAGCUCACUGGCGCGCGAGGCAGUUCGUCGCUGCGCUCCCAAUGAGAAGAGGGCAGCACCCAAGCGCCAGGCGUCACGCGGCGCGGCAGUCGUAGAGGGGCCUGACACGCAAGCCAGCGCACCGCCCGACGAUGCUGCUGCUGAAUCGACCGCGGCGCAGGCAGCGCGCCGCUGGGGUCCCGCCACGGCGGAGCGGUUUGUCUCUCUGCUUCUUCCGCAUGCUGUGGCGGCGUUUCAGGCACGGGCGCGGCAGGCGCAGCCGCUGUUGUGGGCGCUGCUGCGGCUGUCGCCUGCCACGGUGCUGCCAGACUUUCUGAAUUGUGUGCGGACGGGCCUACGCAGCCCCACGGAGGUGGCGGCGCAGCGUGCUGUCUCGACACGGCUUCUCACUGGCGCCGUGCCCACCAUCCUGGUAGAUGCAGAGGCCGCGUCGCUGCUGCCCUCCAACACGAGCAGCGCUACUCUGCUUGCCUUCCUGCGGGAGACGCUGCCGUCGAUGCUCACGUUCGUGAAUCCGAGCGACGUGGUGAGUGCGCUGCCUGUCCUCUCGCUCGUGGCGGUCGCGACGAGCUAUGCCGGAGCGGAGGAGGUGUUCGGCACCGUCGACGAGGUGGACGCCUUUGCGAAGGCCUACGUGGCGCGUGUGCUUCCGCUCUUUGCUGCCAACGCCGACGUGAAGGACGGCCACUUUCCAAACGCCGAGGUGAUGGUUCGCGCAUUUCUGCGGACUCUGCCGUCGACGGCUCUCUCGAUGGUGACGCGCGAGGUGUUGCGAGAGGCGCAAAGCCGUGAUCACGGUGCUCGCAUGGCCGGGCUGGUGCGCAUGGUUGCUGCCUGCGCGCCGGCUGAGGCAUGGGCCUGGGCACAGAAGCACUGGCUCCGAGUCCUGCUUGACACGUCUGCGCGAGACGCCGAGGUGGAGUGGGCGGCACCGCUGCUAGCGGCCUGCGUCGCCGACCUGGGCGACCGCUCGCUCGCACGCGCGCACGCCACAUCGAUCUGGCGCGGCGUGCAACUGCAGCUUCGCAUUCUGACCAGUAAGAAGCGCCGCACCGCUGGCGCCCAAGUCAUGGAGGCGCUCAUGGCAUCGCUGAUGCGGCCGCGGGAACGUUCCGAGACCCAUCUUCGCAUCUCAAGCGGCGAGCAGCUUCGACUGCAGCAGCUGCAGGCGACGGCGACGGCCCCGGGCUCUACUCGUGUACCGGGUUCUGCUGCUGAACUGCCGUUGCCAAGGAUCGGCACGGCAACUGAGGCGCGGGUGUACGUAGAGUGGCCGGGCGCAGAGGAUGUGCAGGUGGCGGUGGAUCUCUUCAACGCGUCCCUCCAAGACUGCGUGCACGUGAUUGAGGAGGUGAGCGGUGGCGCCGUCCUCAAUACCGCCGCAGCAGGGGCGACAGUGGCGGUUUCAAGCGAUGGUGAGAUUUCGCUUCACGCGCAGUUCUUCGCGGGCGCCUCCACCGCCACCGCAGCACCAAGCAGCGGCGCUGAUGCUGUCUUGUGCGAGAGUGCCGCGGCUGUGACGCGGCACAGCGUUCUGGAAGGGACGCUGCACUGGAUGCAGCGACUCCUCUGCGCAUGCGAGUGGGUGUUUAUCGAGCCGACGCCGACCGCGACGGCAGCGGACCCGCAGCAGACGCGCGGCGUGCCGUGGUGGGACGUGGAUCCACACGUGCCGUGGCGCCCCACCGGCGCCCCGCUGCUCCCAGCGUCGUGCAGGCCCGCGUACACGCGGGCGGAGGUUUUUGAAGUGCUUCGCAGGUGCGUGUGCCUCCCCAUGCUGCGCCAGCACGUCGUCGUUCCCUUGCGUCAGUGCGGCGUGGAGUUGAAGGAGUGGUUUGGCGCGCCUUCCGGCGAGGAGGUGCCCACGUCGGCUGACGACAGCCAAGCUGCCGUGGUGGAGCUGCUGCGACUGCUCCAGUGGCUGUCGUCUUCCAUUGUGCGGCUGCCUCAGCAGCGGUGGCGACCGGCCGCGUCGCUCUCGCACUACCUGCGCCGCAUCAUAGGGAGGCAGUGCCCAUGGGUGCGUCGACGUCUACCGCUGGGGUGCUGGGUCGACCGCUCGCUGCAGCUGCAGGUGGAGGCGGUGGCGCACGGGCAUCUACCAGUGACGCAGAAGACGUUCUCGGACGUUGUGUCCGUUGUGCAGAGCCUGUGUCUGUCGCCGCGGCGGCCCGUCUGGGGUGGUGCGAUGCGGCUGCUCGUGCACGUGCGCCUCUUCGGUGCCCUCGACAGCGCCUCGCUUGCGAUGUUCGAGGGCCGGGUGCGCGCCGUGGCGGCCGACAUCGUCUGCCAGUGGCGCGCAGGGGUGGCGUCUGCAGCGUCGGACACCGCCGUGACGAAGGCGGCACUGCGUCCACAGGAGCAGCGGCGGCGGCUGCCUGCGACCACCACGGCGGCGGUCGAAAGCCCCGGUGACGGCAACGGCAGAGCUGGCCAGCCACUUGCCCGCAGCACUCCGGCGGUCAUCGGAGUCGCACCUUCCGCGACGCUUCGGCUGCACACGCUGCAGGGUGCAAUGGAAGGGGUGCAGACGCUCCUGAUGUCACUGGCACUCAACCGCGAGUUCUUCGAGGCGCCGACCACGUGCAUGGAAUCGCUGCGCUUCCUGGUUCGCUUCCCGGAAGAGCUGCGCUCCGUCACCGCCGGGCUGCUGCUGCCUCAGUUCACGGAACGCGUGCGCUCGGCCAAAGUGCUUCUCAUCACCGGCGCUGCCCGCUCUCCCGCCUUCACGGAGGAGCUGGUGCAGGUUGCCUACGAGCUUGCUGCCACGUACCCCGCGCGCGCCGUGCUACUUCUGGCGUACGCCCAUCUUGUCUACUGGCCGUCUCCGUGUCGCUGGGUCUCUCUGCGCGCCGUACGCUACCUAGCGCGCCUGUCCCUCUCUUCCCACGUCGUUUUGCGCUGCGUGGCAGCUGACCUCUUACAGGCUGUGUCGCUGCCGGUCACCGUGCGUGAACCAACGUGGACGGUGUGCGCGGUUCCCGGUGCCCUUGCGGUGCCCGUAUCCUUCUUGCUUCCACCAGACGCAGCGAAGGAGCUGCUGAGUGAGACGGAGCAGCGGGCGCACGAGGCUGCCGUGACAGCGGCGCAGGACUGCGUGCAACGACUGACGGAGGCAUGCCCGUUGAUGCCCUACUACGUCGGCACGAAGGGCCUCGUGCUUCCGCUGAGUUACCUCACGGUGCCCAGGUGCGCAGCGUCCGCGCUGGGCCUGCAUCCGGUGCAGCCAGGCUCUGAAGCGACGUCUAUUCACUGCAGUGCGAUCACCGGCGCCGCCUUUGUGGACGCCAUCACGUACACGCAGCCGCCUGACGCUGCCGCUUACCGUCUUCAGUGGCUGGCGACGCUGCUGGGCGGCAUGAAUGGCGGUGGUGGCGGCGUCACGGUCGUGGAUGCGGAGGAGGAGAGCUGCCAAGCAGCAGACGCAACCGCGCGACAGCUGAGUCCGCAUUCGUGGGUGCUGCGGCUGCUAGCACUGCCGGUCGAGUGCUCCCAAGUGCAUUAUGACCGCCAGGUUGCGUCUCCAACCACGGUCGUAAAGCUGCUCGCCUCGCUGCCGCAGGAGCCGGCGGCGAAUGAUGCAUCGUCGCCGUUCUCUUCUGCUGCCUCGCUGCUGCUCGAGUGGGCCGAUAAUGCACUGCGGACGUGGCGACGCCGUCGUGGUAAAACCCACCAGCCCCGCGGCGGGGACGAGCAGCGCACAUGCGCUGCGGACACAGACGAUUGUGACGGCCCUUCCGUGUCGUCCUCCGAGCGUGGCGUGGCAGACACGCCGCCCACUCACCUCACCAGUGGCGAGGGAGAUGCACAAGGGCACGCCGGCAAGCAUGACGCUAAGGAGGGCGCCAGCGAAGUGGAGGAGGAUGAGAUGUAUCGCCUCUUUCGCUCUCUCGCGAUUGUGUCCUCGGCCGUGCUGCGACUGACUGCCCCACUGCGGCCGACUGCAGCGCCGAGCUCGGCUCACAAGGGCCCCACAGAUGCAGAGCUUCGAACGCGGGCAGUGCACUUCUUCUCUGACGUUGUCGCGUGCGUCUGCAGCCAUGCGGCCGUGCCGCACAGCGUCGCGCAGCGGGUCAUGGCUGUGGCUUUCACGACGCUGGGAGAAUCGCUGACGUCCGAGGAAGUGUGGAUGGUAGUCUAUGCCUUGGUAGGUCAACUGGGAAGUACGACCCACGCGGAGACCGCGACCGCCGCCGCUGAUGACGCCCGCAGCAGCGGCGCUGAUACGUGGUCACAGCGACGGCAGCGCCUCUUGUCCUUCAUCGGCGCCCUCUUCUGCGGUGUGCCUCCAGCGGUCAUCGGGGCCAACCUUCCCCGGCUGGUCGCCCUCAUCGAAGCGCACGCGCAGGUAUUCAGCUUCUCUUCGGCGGACCAGGUGCGGCAGAUGGCGGCAAUGGCUGUAGCGCAGCUGAUCGGUUUCACGGCUCUGCAGAGCAACCUUCGAGUUGAGUUCAACGGCUGUCGCACGGCCGCUGAUGCGCUGAUGGUCUCGCUCAUGCAGCGUGCCAACACCACCGUGUUCCAUGGACGGCUUCCGCUUGUGUGUCUCGGGUCCGAAAGCGGGGACAGCCUGUCGAAGGCCUCGUCAGCGACUCGCGCUGCCGCCGCCAUCAGCAGCGGUGAGGCACCUGAGUCUGCCGGUGUUGGAUCGCCGACCUCCCAAGACGCUGCGCUGCUCACCUUCACCGCCCUGUGCCUCCAACAAUCCCCGGCGGACAUGCUGGAGGCACACGCACGCGACAUGGUGCUGCUGCUCUGCUGCUGUCUUGACCUGUCCUUCACGGAGGUGCAGCAUCUUCACGAGGCGGUGGAGGCGGCUCUCGCCUCUCUGGUGGCUCUUCGGAUGUCCAAGGCUCGUGUCCAUGAGUUGAUCGAGCAGCUCUGCAGUGUCUGUACCGGCUCAGUCGCGUAUGGCACAUCACGACGGGCGAAGGUGGCGUGCACGCGUGCACUGCGUCGGCUCAUCUUUCCGAACCUGCACCGCAUCGGCAGGUUUGCCGUCAUGGAGCAGGUCGCUGCCGCGAGCCUUGCUGCAUUGGCACAUCGUGACGCUGGCAUCCGUGCCGAGGGUAGCCACCUGUUGGCCGUGCUUACCAAGGUUGCGGCCGAGGCGCAGACACGCGUGCUAGUGCAGCGGCUGGUUCAGGAGCUGCGUCAGCUGCCUCGUGAAACCGCCGCGGCCGCAUCUGCGGCGUCAGAGCACCAGCGGGAGGAUGCGCCCUCCAGCAGUGGUGUAGGCGCAGUAUCAGUGGGUCGUCGCGUGGCCCUUGUGCAAGCGCUCGGCGCGGUGGUGCUGGCUGACCCCGGUGAACCGUCCUCUUACGUACCAAAGGUGAUGGUGCAGCUCGCGGGCUGCGCGCGGGAGGGCAACACCGAGUGCGGCCGUGUGGCGAAGCGCGUCUUCGAGGAAUGGUGGCAUGCGCACCGCGAGGGGUGGGAGCACGUGUACAAGUCGCGCUUUACUCCUGCGGAGGUGGAUGCGAUGUCCGACCUUCUUCUCGCACCACGGUACUACGCAUAGGUGAAGUGUGUAGAGGUGUGCGUGUGUGUGAGUGUGAGGAAGGGGAGGAGGAGAUGGGCGGAUGAGGAGCGGUGCGGCGGCCUUAGCUGCAGCAACCACGAAGAAAGUUUUGCAUACCACCAUCCCUCUCUCGUUAAUGCCGGCCUUCCGCUCCAUCUCUCGCUGACAGGCUUGCCUCUGCUCUCUCUCUCUUGACCUGUAGCACGAUGGCUUUAUAUAUAUGUGCGUGUCUGUGUGGCCUGACUGUCGGGGACAUGUUUGGCACUCAUGCCUUCUCUUUAAGGGCCCCGUCGCCAUACGACAUACCCUUCUUCCUCCUUCCCCCAUUUCUCUGGUAGAGUUUGCGUGCUUCUAUUUC
RNAcentral lists this unclassified non-coding RNA (8296 nucleotides) under Leishmania donovani. RNAcentral's name for it is "gene:LdHU3.07.1300(CDS-product:Domain_of_unknown_ function_(DUF3437)_putative)". The record is from RNAcentral. Lineage: Eukaryota; Euglenozoa; Kinetoplastea; Trypanosomatida; Trypanosomatidae.